RNAcentral lists this ribosomal RNA (1159 nucleotides) under Pseudomonas fluorescens. RNAcentral's name for it is "bacterial SSU rRNA". It matches the Rfam family "Bacterial small subunit ribosomal RNA", at positions 49 to 1191 of the family's 1533-position model. The record is from RNAcentral. Lineage: Bacteria; Pseudomonadati; Pseudomonadota; Gammaproteobacteria; Pseudomonadales; Pseudomonadaceae.
UAACACAUGCAAGUCGAGCGGUAGAGAGAAGCUUGCUUCUCUUGAGAGCGGCGGACGGGUGAGUAAUGCCUAGGAAUCUGCCUGGUAGUGGGGGAUAACGUUCGGAAACGGACGCUAAUACCGCAUACGUCCUACGGGAGAAAGCAGGGGACCUUCGGGCCUUGCGCUAUCAGAUGAGCCUAGGUCGGAUUAGCUAGUUGGUGAGGUAAUGGCUCACCAAGGCGACAAUCCGUAACUGGUCUGAGAGGAUGAUCAGUCACACUGGAACUGAGACACGGUCCAGACUCCUACGGGAGGCAGCAGUGGGGAAUAUUGGACAAUGGGCGAAAGCCUGAUCCAGCCAUGCCGCGUGUGUGAAGAAGGUCUUCGGAUUGUAAAGCACUUUAAGUUGGGAGGAAGGGCAGUUACCUAAUACGUGAUUGUUUUGACGUUACCGACAGAAUAAGCACCGGCUAACUCUGUGCCAGCAGCCGCGGUAAUACAGAGGGUGCAAGCGUUAAUCGGAAUUACUGGGCGUAAAGCGCGCGUAGGUGGUUUGUUAAGUUGGAUGUGAAAUCCCCGGGCUCAACCUGGGAACUGCAUUCAAAACUGACUGACUAGAGUAUGGUAGAGGGUGGUGGAAUUUCCUGUGUAGCGGUGAAAUGCGUAGAUAUAGGAAGGAACACCAGUGGCGAAGGCGACCACCUGGACUGAUACUGACACUGAGGUGCGAAAGCGUGGGGAGCAAACAGGAUUAGAUACCCUGGUAGUCCACGCCGUAAACGAUGUCAACUAGCCGUUGGGAGCCUUGAGCUCUUAGUGGCGCAGCUAACGCAUUAAGUUGACCGCCUGGGGAGUACGGCCGCNAGGUUAAAACUCAAAUGAAUUGACGGGGGCCCGCACAAGCGGGGGAGCAUGUGGUUUUAUUUCGAAACAACGCGAAGAACCUUACCAUGCCUUGACAUCCAAUGAACUUUCUAGAGAUAANUUGGUGCCUUCCGGCAACAUUGAAAACAGGUGCUGCAUGGCUGUCCGUCACCUCCUGUCCGGAAAAAUUCGGGUUAAUUCCCGUAACCGGCCGCCACCCCUGGCCCUUAGUUGCCAUUAACUAAAGGUGGGCCAUUUUACGGAAACUGGCGGGGAACAAGCCGCACGUAAGUUCGGGAAUAAAUGCACAGCU